UACGUAGGGUGCAAGCGUUAAUCGGAAUUACUGGGCGUAAAGCGUGCGCAGGCGGCUUUGCAAGACAGAUGUGAAAUCCCCGGGCUUAACCUGGGAACUGCAUUUGUGACUGCAUGGCUGGAGUGCGGCAGAGGGGGAUGGAAUUCCGCGUGUAGCAGUGAAAUGCGUAGAUAUGCGGAGGAACACCGAUGGCGAAGGCAAUCCCCUGGGCCUGCACUGACGCUCAUGCACGAAAGCGUAGGGAGCAAACAGG
RNAcentral lists this ribosomal RNA (253 nucleotides) under uncultured bacterium. RNAcentral describes it as "partial 16S ribosomal RNA". It matches the Rfam family "Bacterial small subunit ribosomal RNA", at positions 524 to 776 of the family's 1533-position model. The record is from RNAcentral.